RNAcentral lists this ribosomal RNA (480 nucleotides) under Triticum aestivum (bread wheat). RNAcentral describes it as "partial small subunit ribosomal RNA". Lineage: Eukaryota; Viridiplantae; Streptophyta; Magnoliopsida; Poales; Poaceae. The record is from RNAcentral.
AUGACACGCAUAAAGGAUUAUGAUCUCGACGCUCUGAAAUGGCGUCUAUUUCCUUUCUCUUUGAGAGGAAAAGCUAGAGAAUGGCUUAUAGCAUUACCUAAGGGCAGUAUUACUUCUUGGGAAGAUUGUUGCAUUAAACUUUUAUCUAAGUUUUAUCCACCUACAAAUAUUAUGCAAUUACGUUCUCAGAUUACAGGGUUCAAGCAAGAGGGACUUGAUCCACUAGCACUUGUGCGGGAUAGAAUGAAGGAAGUUAUAAGAAACGGUCCCAAUCAUGGAAUGGAGGAAUGGUUAAUCCAUCAUAUGUUUUAUAAUGGCUUAAAUCAUAUGUCAAAAACUAUGCUUGAUACAGCUGCAGGAGGAACAAUCAUGGGAAAGCCUAUAAAAGAUGUCAAGAGACUACUAGAUGAUAUGCAAGAGAACCAUGCCCAAUGGCAUGUUGAAAGAACCACCACCAAAAGGGUGAAUGCCAUGGAAUAA